Molecule: ribosomal RNA, 497 nt
Filed under: uncultured bacterium
Lineage: Bacteria
Description: partial 16S ribosomal RNA
Rfam family: Bacterial small subunit ribosomal RNA
Source: RNAcentral
GAUGAACGCUGGCGGCGUGCCUAAUACAUGCAAGUCGAGCGAACGGACGAGAAGCUUGCUUCUCUGAUGUUAGCGGCGGACGGGUGAGUAACACGCGGAUAACCUACCUAUAAGACUGGGAUAACUUCGGGAAACCGGAGCUAAUACCGGAUAAUAUUUUGAACCGCAUGGUUCAAAAGUGAAAGACGGUCUUGCUGUCACUUAUAGAUGGAUCCGCGCUGCAUUAGCUAGUUGGUAAGGUAACGGCUUACCAAGGCAACGAUGCAUAGCCGACCUGAGAGGGUGAUCGGCCACACUGGAACUGAGAAACGGUCCAGACUCCUACGGGAGGCAGCAGUAGGGAAUCUUCCGCAAUGGGCGAAAGCCUGACGGAGCAACGCCGCGUGAGUGAUGAAGGUCUUCGGAUCGUAAAACUCUGUUAUUAGGGAAGAACAUAUGUGUAAGUAACUGUGCACAUCUUGACGGUACCUAAUCAGAAAGCCACGGCUAACUACGUG